Molecule: ribosomal RNA, 253 nt
Filed under: uncultured bacterium
Lineage: Bacteria
Description: partial 16S ribosomal RNA
Rfam family: Bacterial small subunit ribosomal RNA
Source: RNAcentral
UACGUAGGGUGCAAGCGUUAAUCGGAAUUACUGGGCGUAAAGCGCACGUAGGCGGAUUCCUAAGUCGGGGGUGAAAUCCUGGAGCUCAACUCCAGAACUGCCUUCGAUACUGGGAAUCUUGAGUCCGGGAGAGGUGAGUGGAACUGCGAGUGUAGAGGUGAAAUUCGUAGAUAUUCGCAAGAACACCAGUGGCGAAGGCGGCUCACUGGCCCGGUACUGACGCUGAGGUGCGAAAGCGUGGGGAGCAAACAGG